UUAAAAGCAAAGAAGAGAAAUAGUAUCAGUGUGAAACUUUACAGAGACUUUUCGGUUGGUGAAAGAAAAGAGGGGAAGCAGUGUGAACACAUCUCAGAGCUGCAAAGGCGAAAAUUACAGUAGUCUUUGACGGAAUCCUUGUACCCGUUACAGUACUAGAGUAUGAUUGUACUCGAAGAGGUUAUUUUCGGGAGAAGAUAAUGAAUUAAGGUGGAACCACGAAGUUAUAAGCUUUCGUCCUUUUA
This 245-nucleotide non-coding RNA is filed under the name Hathewaya proteolytica. RNAcentral's name for it is "Clostridium proteolyticum T-box sequence". It matches the Rfam family "T-box leader". From Rfam's summary of the family: Uncharged tRNA acts as the effector for transcription antitermination of genes in the T-box leader family. T-boxes are found upstream of many aminoacyl-tRNA synthetase genes and some amino acid biosynthetic genes usually in Gram-positive bacteria. The record is from RNAcentral. Lineage: Bacteria; Bacillati; Bacillota; Clostridia; Eubacteriales; Clostridiaceae.